This 240-nucleotide unclassified non-coding RNA is filed under the name soil metagenome. RNAcentral describes it as "partial contains 5.8S ribosomal RNA, internal transcribed spacer 2, and large subunit ribosomal RNA". The record is from RNAcentral.
AACAUCGCGCACCUGCGGGAACCUGCGGAAGGAUCAUUAACAAUUGUCCAGUCUGCUUUGACUAUGGAUAAUUUAUCCAUAUCCACCUUGUGUGAACUAGAGAAACAUGAGUUGGCAGGUUUUUUCUUCCUGUAAGAGAAUAAGGGUGUGUAAAAACACCUUUACGAGAAUUGAUCUCGGCCUGCCAAUUUUUAUUGUCUCGACUCGUCUGUAACAUAUUAUGACUGAAAAUUAUUAAUU